RNAcentral lists this unclassified non-coding RNA (233 nucleotides) under Hevea brasiliensis (rubber tree). The record is from RNAcentral. Lineage: Eukaryota; Viridiplantae; Streptophyta; Magnoliopsida; Malpighiales; Euphorbiaceae.
AAAUUGCCUUCAUUUAAGUAAAGUGAUUCUCUUUGUCUUAAUUUUGAGAGGGGAGUGUUCAGUAUAGGAUUUGACAGAAUUUACAUGUAUAAUUAGUUAUUGGCUUGAUUUUCCUCUGAACAUAUGAUUACACUUGUAUCAUAGCCAUGAACAGAAUGCGUGAUGUUGUCAAUGUAUUAUUUCCAGCAAAAGUGUAUCGAGACAUAGUCGGAAGUGCAUACUAUGUUGCUCCU